RNAcentral lists this ribosomal RNA (767 nucleotides) under Metabacillus indicus. Its description in RNAcentral is "bacterial SSU rRNA". It matches the Rfam family "Bacterial small subunit ribosomal RNA", at positions 86 to 839 of the family's 1533-position model. Lineage: Bacteria; Bacillati; Bacillota; Bacilli; Caryophanales; Bacillaceae. The record is from RNAcentral.
CGGAGGUCAGCGGCGGACGGGUGAGUAACACGUGGGCAACCUGCCUGUAAGACUGGGAUAACUCCGGGAAACCGGAGCUAAUACCGGAUACUAUGUCAAACCGCAUGGUUUGACAUUCAAAGACGGUUUCGGCUGUCACUUACAGAUGGGCCCGCGGCGCAUUAGCUAGUUGGUGAGGUAAUGGCUCACCAAGGCGACGAUGCGUAGCCGACCUGAGAGGGUGAUCGGCCACACUGGGACUGAGACACGGCCCAGACUCCUACGGGAGGCAGCAGUAGGGAAUCUUCCGCAAUGGACGAAAGUCUGACGGAGCAACGCCGCGUGAGUGAUGAAGGUUUUCGGAUCGUAAAACUCUGUUGUCAGGGAAGAACAAGUGCCGGAGUAACUGCCGGCGCCUUGACGGUACCUGACCAGAAAGCCACGGCUAACUACGUGCCAGCAGCCGCGGUAAUACGUAGGUGGCAAGCGUUGUCCGGAAUUAUUGGGCGUAAAGCGCGCGCAGGCGGUUUCUUAAGUCUGAUGUGAAAGCCCCCGGCUCAACCGGGGAGGGUCAUUGGAAACUGGGAAACUUGAGUGCAGAAGAGGAGAGUGGAAUUCCACGUGUAGCGGUGAAAUGCGUAGAGAUGUGGAGGAACACCAGUGGCGAAGGCGACUCUCUGGUCUGUAACUGACGCUGANGCGCGAAAGCGUGGGGAGCGAACAGGAUUAGAUACCCUGGUAGUCCACGCCGUANCGAUGAGUGCUAAGUGUUUAGAGGGUUUCCGCCC